Molecule: ribosomal RNA, 898 nt
Filed under: Listeria monocytogenes
Lineage: Bacteria; Bacillati; Bacillota; Bacilli; Caryophanales; Listeriaceae
Description: partial 23S ribosomal RNA
Rfam family: Bacterial large subunit ribosomal RNA
Source: RNAcentral
CCCGCACGAAAGGCGCAACGAUCUGGGCACUGUCUCAACGAGAGACUCGGUGAAAUUAUAGUACCUGUGAAGAUGCAGGUUACCCGCGACAGGACGGAAAGACCCCGUGGAGCUUUACUGCAACCUGAUAUGGAAUGUUUGUACCGCUUGUACAGGAUAGGUAGGAGCCGAAGAGACGUGUGCGCUAGCAUACGAGGAGGCAAUGGUGGGAUACUACCCUGGCUGUAUGACCAUUCUAACCCGCCACGCUUAGCGCGUGGGGAGACAGUGUCAGGUGGGCAGUUUGACUGGGGCGGUCGCCUCCUAAAGAGUAACGGAGGCGCCCAAAGGUUCCCUCAGAAUGGAUGGAAAUCAUUCGCAGAGUGUAAAGGCACAAGGGAGCUUGACUGCGAGACUGACAAGUCGAGCAGGGACGAAAGUCGGGCUUAGUGAUCCGGUGGUUCCGCAUGGAAGGGCCAUCGCUCAACGGAUAAAAGCUACCCCGGGGAUAACAGGCUUAUCUCCCCCAAGAGUCCACAUCGACGGGGAGGUUUGGCACCUCGAUGUCGGCUCGUCGCAUCCUGGGGCUGUAGUCGGUCCCAAGGGUUGGGCUGUUCGCCCAUUAAAGCGGCACGCGAGCUGGGUUCAGAACGUCGUGAGACAGUUCGGUCCCUAUCCGUCGCGGGCGCAGGAAAUUUGAGAGGAGCUGUCCUUAGUACGAGAGGACCGGGAUGGACACACCGCUGGUGUACCAGUUGUUCCGCCAGGAGCAUCGCUGGGUAGCUAUGUGUGGCAGGGAUAAACGCUGAAAGCAUCUAAGCGUGAAGCCCCCCUCAAGAUGAGAUUUCCCAUUUCUUCGGAAAGUAAGAUCCCUGAAAGAUGAUCAGGUAGAUAGGUUUGGAGUGGAAGUGUAGCGAUA